This is a long non-coding RNA of Oreochromis aureus, 546 nucleotides long. The record is from Ensembl. NCBI's taxonomy places the organism in Eukaryota, Metazoa, Chordata, Actinopteri, Cichliformes, Cichlidae.
AGGCUGUUGGCUGCACAUACACCCGCUCGCACACUUUCACUCAGAGGCCCGACGAGCCGAGGGUCUGAGUCCGUGCGCCCUCGCUGGCACUUUGUGUUUCUGCAGGUGAUCGCUGACGUGCUGUAACUUAACAGACUAAUUCUGGAUCCGCUGUGAAGCAGCUGUGGGACAGUUUGUCACUGGCUGAGAAACAGCAUUCACUGCAGGAAUCCACACUGAAUGUGAGGACGAGCACAUCUAGAUGUUCCCUUUAUCUGCCUCCAAAAUAAAAACCGUGCAGAGCAGAAGAAACAAAUGUUGGUGUAAUCAGAGGACAUGCAACAGGAGUUUACAGGCGUGGACUGCAACUGUCCCAGCUGACAGCGAGCCUCCACUCCAACCCCACAUCCACGAGGUUUGCAGAGAGGAACACGCACUCAGCGAAGGAGAUUUAAGUCUUCGUGGCCUCGUUUUUAUCUUUGUACUGCUUCCAGUUUUGUACUCUGUGUGUCACAUGUGGCAUCCUGGUCAGUAAAUGAAUAUAUGAUCAAUAAAAACAAAAUAAAC